Molecule: ribosomal RNA, 800 nt
Filed under: uncultured bacterium
Lineage: Bacteria
Description: bacterial SSU rRNA
Rfam family: Bacterial small subunit ribosomal RNA
Source: RNAcentral
AGAGUUUGAUCAUGGCUCAGGAUGAACGCUGGCGGCGUGCUUAACACAUGCAAGUCGAGCGAAGCACGGAUGAGGAAGUUUUCGGAUGGAAUCAUGCGUGACUGAGCGGCGGACGGGUGAGUAACGCGUGGGGAACCUGCCCUGUACAGGGGGAUAACAGCUGGAAACGGCUGCUAAUACCGCAUAAGCGCACACUGCCGCAUGGCAGAGUGUGAAAAACUCCGGUGGUACAGGAUGGACCCGCGUCUGAUUAGCUUGUUGGCGGGGCAACGGCCCACCAAGGCGACGAUCAGUAGCCGACCUGAGAGGGUGACCGGCCACAUUGGGACUGAGACACGGCCCAAACUCCUACGGGAGGCAGCAGUGGGGAAUAUUGCACAAUGGGGGAAACCCUGAUGCAGCAACGCCGCGUGAGUGAAGGAGUAUUUCGGUAUGUAAAGCUCUAUCAGCAGGGAAGAAGAUGACGGUACCUGCACAAGAAGCCCCGGCUAACUACGUGCCAGCAGCCGCGGUAAUACGUAGGGGGCAAGCGUUAUCCGGAUUUACUGGGUGUAAAGGGAGCGCAGACGGCUGUGCAAGUCUGGAGUGAAAGACUGGGGCUCAACCCCGGAACUGCUUUGGAAACUGUACGGCUGGAGUGCUGGAGAGGCAGGCGGAAUUCCUGGUGUAGCGGUGAAAUGCGUAGAUAUCAGGAGGAACACCAGUGGCGAAGGCGGCCUGCUGGACAGUAACUGACGUUGAGGCUCGAAAGCGUGGGAGCAAACAGGAUUAGAUACCCUGGUAGUCCACGCCGUAAACGA